AUUAAACGCUGGCGGCAUGCCUUACACAUGCAAGUCGAACGGUAGCGCGGGGCAACCUGGCGACGAGUGGCGAACGGGUGAGUAAAGCAUCGGAACGUGCCCUGGAAUGGGGGAUAACGUAGCGAAAGUUACGCUAAUACCGCAUAUUCUGUGAGCAGGAAAGCAGGGGAUCGCAAGACCUUGCGUUCUGGGAGCGGCCGAUGUCGGAUUAGCUAGUUGGUGGGGUAAAAGCCUACCAAGGCGACGAUCCGUAGCGGGUCUGAGGGGAUGAUCCGCCACACUGGGACUGAGACACGGCCCAGACUCCUACGGGAGGCAGCAGUGGGGAAUUUUGGACAAUGGGCGGAAGCCUGAUCCAGCCAUGCCGCGUGAGUGAAGAAGGCC
Molecule: ribosomal RNA, 384 nt
Filed under: uncultured bacterium
Lineage: Bacteria
Description: bacterial SSU rRNA
Rfam family: Bacterial small subunit ribosomal RNA
Source: RNAcentral